Molecule: long non-coding RNA, 1047 nt
Organism: Meriones unguiculatus (Mongolian gerbil)
Lineage: Eukaryota; Metazoa; Chordata; Mammalia; Rodentia; Muridae
Exons: 4
Source: RefSeq, a predicted model, not a curated record
UCCGCCUCCGCUGCGGGAGAGGCCCGGGUCUCUGGCGGAGUCUAGGCCGCCGGUUCCGUCCGAGGAAGGUUCCGCGCCACGGAAGUGGAGGUCACAUGCUAACCGAGCUGUGCGCGCUUCAGGCGUCGCUGAGAGAUUUCCUUUUACGAAGCGCAGUUUGCCGCAGGAUGUCGAGCGAUAAAGUGGCCACCGUAUCUUAACACCCCCUAUUUCAUACCCCGUCACUGUGUGCGUCGCUCUGAACUUUCGUGAACGCUUCUGCCAAAGACCCUCAAAGUAUUGCUAGCUCUCAAGACAAGGUUUCUCCGUGUAGCCUUGGCUGUCCUGGUCUUGCUUUCUAGACCAAGCUGGCCCUGAACCCGCCUGCCUCUCCCUCCCCUACUGCUGGGAUCACAGGUGUGUGCCACUGUGCGCUAACUCAGACAUGGACUCUUGUUGCCUGUUUUUUGAUCACUCCCCCCUAGUGGGGCUGCCUUACCAUGCCUCAGGGGAAGAGGAUGAGCUCAGUCCUGAUGCGACUUGAUGAACUGAGAGGUCAGAAAACCUGCAAGAGGCAGCUCUAUUCUUCCACCAUGGAUCACAGGAGAGAACUCAGGCCCAGUGAAUGACCUGGACAGGAGCCAAGGCCUAGUCCUGCGAUGGCUGUUGCUGCUAUCAACCUGACCAUGAAAGCUUACACCUGCCAACUGAAGCAAAAGCUAACUGCCAUGCAUGCUUCUGGAAGAAUCUCCAUUUGCUUGCUUACUUGCCCUAUCUUAUGGUUUUAGAAGAUAAAAUGAGACUGUAAAAUGGACUUGGAACUGAAGCAUUUUUGUUUCUUGUUCUUUUUUUUUUUUCCUUAUUUUUCAAGACAGGGUUUCUCUGUGUAGCCUUAGCUGUCGUAGACUCGUUUUGUAGACUAGGCUGGCCUCAAAAUCACAAAUAUUCUACCUCCCUGAGCAAUGAGAUAAUAGGUAUGCACCACCGUGCCCAGCCUUGUUCUAUGUUUUCAAGAAAGGGUUUCUUUAUGUGGCCAUGACUGUCUGGAACUUGCUCUGUAGACCAUGC